AGCCAGGACGGCCGCUAGAGGGCGGAGAGCAGCGCUGAUGUGCCAAGUUUGUAGAAAGUAUUGUGCAGAGCAGCAGCUGGGAGCCACAAAGAGGAAGGAAGGAUGCAAGUCUAAUGGUAAAUGCUAUAGAUGCGCCAUUGUUGGGGUAGGGUGUGAUGGCUUAUGGAGGCAGACACAGCUGGGCUCUGUAGAUCAGGUUUGGAAAUCUCAUGCAUUUCUUUUUAAAGUGUAUUACAGAGGGAGGUGGAUGUGUUUUAUGAUAUAGGCAUUCUGUAUUGGGCCACAACUCCUAUCACUAGCUGCAUUUGUCUCUCCUUAUAGUGUAAGACUGCGGUGGGGAAGCAUUCAAUCAAAGGGGUUUCCAGAUGUUGCAGGACUACAACCCCCAUGAUGCUUUACCAGUUGGAAGUUUGUAGUUCUGCAAUAUCUGGGGUUCUGCCUUUCUUUCAAUGCUGGUAGAAAAAAUAUAUCUGGCUUGGAGGGUGUAGAAAUCAAUGCAGCAGAGCAGGGGCAGCGCAGAUUUCUAUUGUCUGUUGUUUUGGGGUGGGAGCAUUGGGAGAUAGUCUCUCUAAGUCAACUAUUUCCUCCUUAGUUACUUGUUAAUCCUAGCGAUGAGACACGUUGUUAUCGAUUUAAAAGUUCCAUAUUUAUUUAUUUUCCCUAUGACACUUGGAGUAUGACUAAUAAAAUAAACCUCAACUGAACUAGAAGUACUUUGAAUUUAGUAGUUACAUUGGAGACUGGGUGAUUCUGCUAAAUGUAACGACUCUCCUGUUAAUUGGUUAAUGAGCAGGUUAUCAGGGAGAAGCUGGGCCUGUUGCUGACACUGGUUUUGUAUUCAUUGUAACAUGAUGUCGUGGGGAACACUCUGAGGUUCAGAGUUGGUCAAUUAGUUGUCAUGGUGACUGUUUCAGUUGUAGAACGCUGCCCCAGAGUCACCUUCUUACCCCACACCCUGGUAGUUGUUUUAUGACACACCCUGACAUGCUGCAAGGUGGGUGGGGAGCAAAGUAGCCAACAUAGGGCGUUGAUGUAGCAUUGGAAAAUACUUUAUAAAAGAGAUGAAGGUUCUGUCUUCAGCAAUGCAGAGUAAUAUGAUCAUCUUGCUGCUCUUAUAUUUUCUAUAUAAUCCAACACUGUAUAUUAUCCAAAUACAAGAAGUUACAAAAUGCCUGCAAAACUAAAACCAAUUCUAUAGAUUUUAAUAGUGUUAUAUUGUAAUUGUAUAUUAAAGUGACUCCCUAACCAGUUAACUAACCUACACCACUAACGAAGUCCUUAAAUUCAAAGCCCUCUACUUUGAUGCAAGUUUCCAUAGCUGGCUACUUCCAAUACUAGCCCUUUCAUCUUCAGAGGUCUGAGCAUAUAACUGCAUGCUGGGCAGGGAUUAGGGAUAUAGAGAGCCAGUUACAGGUAGGCACAGAGCCCCAAGAUUCUGCUCCCCCACCGCCAAACUGAAAAUGAACUGAACGUUGGGGAUUGUGUUUAUAGUAUCCACUUACUGUCCUAUGACCAAUAUUAAAGCUGCAGGAAUUCAGUGUGCAUCACUCAGUGCUGUCCCUGCUCCUCCUGCAAGUCACUUCGUGGGUGAGAGGCUGUUAGAGGGCAGAUGGGAAGUGAUCUCUUCCAGUCCAGCCUCCUACAGACACUAGACUUGCUGGGACAUCACUUCACUUUACAUGCUCUAUAACGUUCCAGCAGUUCUGCUAUCUAGCAUAGAGAAUACUGGCCAAGGCUCUUGGUACAUGUCUCUCCACCAGCCCACUUUGAGGGACACUCCAUUGCCAAAAUAGACUUUUUUAAAAAUCACAAUUUAGUAGAUGUACCACAAAUAAAAAAUGCAUGCACUUUAAUUAUGCAUAAUUUCAUUGGUGAUCUAUCUAAAAACAGCUUGCAAUAACUGUAGAUCUGACUGCUAGCUUUGCAAGCCCUCCCCUUCUAACACUGCCCAGACUUUCUGCGGCUGUCCAAUCACAGGCUUCCCAAUGCAGCUCAAUGAGAAGUCUUUGCGAGGCAGGUGCUCUGGCCAGUUAACUUCCUCUUGAGUGUGUGUCAGCGUCAGCUAAGGGGGUGUAACAAGAUUCAUUAAAAUCUGCACUUUGUAAAAAGGAAUGAGGACACUUCUUCCCCCCCCCCACACAAAACACUCAACUCUUCAAUCACUCUUUCUGUGACUCUGUUCUCUCAUGGUUUUCCUCCUAUCUCUCCAAUGCUCAUUCAGCGUCUACCUUUCUAAUGAUACCUCCACCGUUUGUCCUGUCUCAGUUGGAGUCCCUCAAGGCUCUGUCCUUCAUCCCUUCUAUUUUCUCUUUACACUGCCUCUCUUGGUAAGCUUAUUACCUUUUCUGGAUUCAAAUACCACCUGUACGCUGAUGACACCCAGAUCUCUCCUCCCCAGACCUCUCCCUGAUGUCCUGCAACGUGUCUCCUCUUGCCUUUCUAUCUCUGAUUGGAUGUCCUCCCACUUUCUGAAACUGAAUCUUUCCAAAACAGAACUUCUUGUCUUUCCUCUUCCUAAUAUUAAUCCUCCUUUCUCGCUCUCCCUUCAGAUUGGUGGUACCCAUAUCAGCACAACAUCCUUACAAGCACGUUGUCUUGGUGUUACAUUUGAUUCUGGCCUCACCUUUCGGCCUCACAUCUGGUCUGUCAAAUCAUGCCAAUUCCACCUCAAACACAUCGCCCGCAUCCGCCCUUUUCUUACACAAGAUGCUACUAAAGAGCUUGUCCAUGCUCUAGUAAUCUCUCGCAUGUAACUCUCUCCUAAUUGGUCUUCCCAAUAGCCGUAUUGCCGCACUACAGUCUGUAAUGAAUGCUGCUGCCAGACUGAUUUUCCUCUCUAGUCGGUCCUCUCACCCCUCUCAGUCCUUACAUUGGCUUCCUGUAUCCUAUAGGAGUCAAUUCAAAGUGCUAACCCAUACCUAUAAAGCACUGCAUAAUCUUAGCCCCUCUUGUAUCUCCUCACAGAUCCAUAGGUAUGCCCCUUCUCGGUCCCGCUGCUCAUACCUGUAUGGCCAACACGCGCUUGCAGGACUUUUCACGGGUGGCUCCCGUCCUAUGGGAAUAGCCUGCCUCCCACCAUCAAACUCUCCCUUAGUCUUCAAUCAUUUUAAGAAGUGCCUUAAAACUAAUUUCUUUAGGAAAGCCUAUGGCCUUCCAGACUAACCUCUACCUCACAUACCUGCCUCUUACUCUCUACUCUCUCCUCCAGCUCUGCUCCACUCCAACCUAAUUUGACUUCUUUUCCCUGUCCUAAUGUUUUAUACCCCACCUCCUAUAGACUGUAAUAUCAUUUAAGCAGGGCCCUCUUCAACCUUUCGUUCCUGUAAGUUUUUUCUUGUAAUUGUCCUAUUUAUAGUCAAAUCCCCCCCUCAUAAUAUUGUAAAGCGCUAUGGAAUCUGUUGGAAUAAUAAUAAUGGUAAUAAUUGUCUUGUAGCAGUUUAGUUUACAGGCCCCUUUCCGAGUGCCUGCAAAAGGUAGCUUACUUACCUACUCCUCCUUGCUGUGCUGCUUCCUGUGGCCAGCCCUGCCUCCAUCUUGAUGUCUGCCAACCUAAUGCUUUCCCAUUUGAUGGACAUGCAUGUGUGCAAAAAACAGUGCCAAUCAGGUUGAUUAUUAGACUAUAUAUCUGCUCGAAAUUUGCGGGUUUUUUUUUCCAGAGGAAGCUCAUUUGAUGUCUGUCAGUGUGACUGCAGAAUGUCAAUGUUUCCAGUUGUGUGGUUAAAAAUAGUGGGGCAUAGCACCCAGACAUCUCACUGAGAUGACGUCUUCUAUGUGCCCAUUUAAGCUCCAACAAAAGCUGACCAGUUCUGAAAACAGUUGCUGACUCUGCAUUAUUGGAAAUUUGGCCCUGAAUAUAGAUCCAUAACCUGCAAAAGUAUUCAUCAAAUUGUAAUGAAAUAGCUUCCCAAACUGGCAGCAGAUAUUGAUUUGGAAAUGUCGACUCUUGUGCUUUUUUUAUAAAUGGAGUGAUGUUUACUGUACAUUCUCGUGAUUCCAGCUUAGACAUCAUGCCCACUGAGUGUGAGGUUGUGGGAAUCCAAGCACCAUAACUAUAUAGCAACAUGUAGUAAUUAGUGCCAGGAGCACUCAUGUGAUGUGCUUUGGUACGUAAACUGGUUUUAGGAGACAAAUUGUUUUUUAAAUUGUAAACAUGACAUUUAACUUGACCCUUUCCCUGAAUCAAACGAUUAUGCCAUGCAUGCAAACUAUUUAUGAUUUAUUUCAAUUACUGUAGUUCAUGUUUUAUAACUCAAUACUACCUCACUUUGGGAGGCAUGGCUUCAGGGUGGCUCUACUUUCGACAUCUUGUAAUUUCGUUACUUGCUGAUAACAGUUUAUGUAACUUAGACCAUUUUUGUAUCUUGUUUAGACACGUUACUGAGAACUAUACUGCUGGGAAACUGAACACCAAAAUAUAUGGAGCACACAGAAGAGAGGGCUGUUGGGCUGGAAGAGGGGGGGAAAAGGACAGCAGGAUUUGGCUUCAAAUAAGGACUUCCUAAAGAGAGGCACUUGGGAGGUAUGUGUUUAGACUUCCUUUUUAUUUUUCUUGCAAAGAUCUAAGGAAUGCUAUCUAGAGACGAGACUGUUUGGGAGGGAUGUGUAUCUAAACGUUUGGGGUCCCUGGUCAUUGACAUGGUUAUUCACAAAUCUAAAUUAUCAGGACACAUGACUUGUCAUGCACAAGUAGUUGGGCUACUGCUUUAGUCUAUUGCAAAAGGGGAUUUUGAAAAAAAUGUCCACACCCCUAAGUAUAUGCAAUAUGGGGGUUUCAAAACUGCAAAUUCUGUUUUCCUGCUAUUCUAUGUGCAAACUGACUGAGCAUCUAAUCCACAGUGUAGACUUGACCAGGUCAGUAUGUCAAUCUGGGAAAUCGGUUUGAGGGCAGCCAUUCAGUACAUAUUGUAAACACUGGGGAGACCCACCAGGAAGGAUCCAUGUAGACACUGGAGUUCUGUAUAUAAAUAUGAACUAACAAAUUUAACAAAGUCAGGCCUGCAUCAGAUGCAGGUGAUGUUUUGUGCGCGAGUGCUAUUUUAUUUGUACCCUUGUGUAUGAAGGAAACACGAUCCCUCUGCCUCAUUACUUCCUAAAGUGUGGAGUAGUCUCCUGCUGUGCAGAGCUUCUAAUGUCUGCGUUAGUCUGGGAGCACAGCCAGGAAUGACACACUCUGCCUGGCACAGAGCGGGCCAAGCAAUGAGAGCAGAUCUGAGCAGGGAAGCAGGGAUUUCCCAGGAAAUGUCAUGAUAUAGGAGCUGCUAUGCAGAGCGAAUCCAUAAUAUGCUGAGGCGUUUAUGGAAAACUGUACCAAGGCUUAAUGCAUACAUCCUACAUAUAGAUCUGUCCUCUCGUGCACAGCUCACAGGAGUUUUUUUAUACAAAAUACAAUGUUCCCAAUGGGCAUCCUGUGAUACAGACAGCUGGUAUUAACUUGUGACACUAGAGCACACAAUGGGGUUAUGUAUAAAGAGUGGUGUUUACAUUUUAGGCUGUGCUUCUGUUGCAUUGCCUAAAUGCUGGAAUAUUCAUAACUGCAUCAGUACUCUUAUCACUUUGGUUUUUUUUUUUUUUGUGGAUUACCCCUCAUCUUUACUGUUUAUUACGUCCACAAAACUAGAUACUCAUGAGGUAUGUAGGGCAAAGAGAAAAAUCCAAAAGAGGCUUAAAGGACCAGUAAAUACAGACAGACCACUUCGAUGGCCCUGUAACUUUAAUCUUUCAAUGUAAAACCUGGCUGUUCUGACACCUCAAUGUUAACAUUGAUGGGUUAAAUGCACAUCUAGUAGCUGUCUUCCUGAUGGCCAUUAGUGGCGCUUCCAAUUCCAGACCAGUCUAACUUUCAAUCACAUGCUGUCAUAGAAGAGCCUGACCAUUUGCUGCACAUAUAUAAAUCGUCCAAUGCCUUUCUGAGACGCGCUGGAUUGGACGGAGAAUGUGGGAGAUGUCAGCCGGAAUGGUGAUUGAUGCUGAGCGCGUAGUUGCAGCAAAGGUCUCCACACUGGAAAUGAGG
Molecule: long non-coding RNA, 6010 nt
Filed under: Pelobates cultripes (western spadefoot toad)
Lineage: Eukaryota; Metazoa; Chordata; Amphibia; Anura; Pelobatidae
Source: RNAcentral